Molecule: ribosomal RNA, 436 nt
Filed under: Acanthamoeba jacobsi
Lineage: Eukaryota; Discosea; Longamoebia; Acanthamoebidae
Description: SSU rRNA
Rfam family: Eukaryotic small subunit ribosomal RNA
Source: RNAcentral
UUGGCCCAGAUCCGUUUACCGUGAAAAAAUUAGAGUGUUCAAAGCAGGCAGACCAUUCUUCUGCCACCGAAUACAUUAGCAUGGGAUAAUGGAAUAGGACCCUGUCCUCCUAUUUUGCGUGUUGGUUUUCGAGGACCGGGUAAUGAUUAAUAGGGAUAGUUGGGGGCAUUAAUAUUUAAUUGUCAGAGGUGAAAUUCUUGGAUUUAUGAAAGAUUGACUUCUGCGAAAGCAUCUGCCAAGGAUGUUUUCAUUAAUCAAGAACGAAAGUUAGGGGAUCGAAGACGAUCAGAUACCGUCGUAGUCUUAACCAUAAACGAUGCCGACCAGCGAUUAGGAGACGUUGAAUACAAAACACCACCGUCGGGUCGGCCGUCCUUGGCCGUCGUGCGCGGCGACGCGCGCGGCGGCGAGGGCGGUUCUGCCCGACGGCCCGGAA